Long non-coding RNA from Oncorhynchus tshawytscha (Chinook salmon), 1752 nucleotides. The record is from Ensembl. Lineage: Eukaryota; Metazoa; Chordata; Actinopteri; Salmoniformes; Salmonidae.
UUCCUGUCUUUGUGUUUUGCACCAGAUAGGGCUGGUUUGAGUUCUCACGUUUAUUGUUUUCGUUAGUUUAUUCAUGUAUAGCGUCUUCAUUAAAGAAAUAUUAAUAACCACCACGCUGCGUUUUGGUCCUCCUCUCCUUCACCACAAGAGAACCGUGACACUUUGACAAUGAACCAAAACACACCUCCAGGCUGUGUAAGGGCUAUUUGACAAAGAAGGAGAGUGAUGGAGUGCUGCAUUAGAUGAACUGGCCUCCACAGUCACCUAACCUCCCACCCAAUUGAGAUGGUUUAGGAUGAUUUGGACUGCAGAGUGAAGGAAAAGCAGCCAACAAGUGUCCAUCAGGGUUGGCGUCAAUUCAAGAAGAAGAGAUGGCCUGCAAUCCCCAGCAGAGCCAGAGGCUGUGGUUCUUCUCGCGCUCCCUGGACUCAGUCUUUGACUUUGGCAGUCUGACCAUCUCCAGGGCCAACGACAACCACUCCCUCUCCACAGAGAAGACCAGUGUCUCUACAGCCUUGGUCCAGGGGUGUGGCUCGAUGGCCCUGCCUGACUUGGUCACCUCCUACCAGAUGGAGCACACAGAGGGACCAGGGCAGCCAGGGGAGAGGGAAGCAGGCCCACCAGGAGACCUCAAACAGGACAGCAGUCAGAGCCCCCAGGAACAGUGAAGGGGAGCCGGAGGCUGCCUCUUGUCUGUGCUAUUACCACGUGUUCCGGGAGGGCGAGCUGGCGGAGCUGAUCAAGAGCCACGUCGAAGAGCUCCGCGUCCUUUCCUCCUGCUUCGACCAUGCCAACUGGUGCGUGGUGGCCGAGAAGGUCCAGGUUUGGAAGAUAUGACUUGGUUUUAAUAAGUUUGAUUUGUAUUUUUUUAUAAUUUAUUCAUUUUGCACCUCAAAUGUGCAACACUUUUUAAAAGAUAUUUUGAAUGUACUGUUCACAUUCUUACUGUGUUUUAAGAGUUACUGUGUUUCGCAAAUUUAAUAGCACCUAAUAAGCAGUAUCCAGAGGGCCAGGAUACUGCGUCCCAAAUGGCACCCAAAUGACUGCGUCCCAAAUGGCACUCUAUUCCCAAGACUUCUAUCCUCAGUUCCAAUGCUGCUAUCGUUGGACCACCAAUAACAAUCAAUGAAACAUGUCUGCCAAGGAUCUGCCUCAUUUCAGUUUUCCCCUCCAAACUUUUGCUCUUCUGUUUUUAGCCACAACCCUUGAGACCAUUAGUGGUGGAAUUCAGGCUGUAUUUGUCUUCAAAUGUUCCACAAUAUACAAGGGGAAUCAACCUUGCAGCAACGUUCUGUGAUGUGUUGGUAUCCCUUUCUAUGGACCACCUGUGUAUAAUGGGUCAUGUUCUAAGGAGCCAUGUGCUGUUAUUAAGAAUUCUUAAGGCAAGUGCUAUAUAAUUUCAAUACUGUCUGUGUGAUUUGUGUUAAUAUUUUGUCCAGCUGAACUAAUAAUUUUUUGGUCAAAUGAACAGACACAUCCUAGAUGAUACUGUGAAAUGUUGCAUUGUAUGUAUGUUGCUGCUUGCUGAAUGUCAGUGGUUCGCACAUGAAUAGCUCUUGGGAAAACUUGAAACAUGUCUGUAGUCAGUGAACCAGGGAGGUUGCCUGUCAGUGCAGUGCAACUGUUCUAGACCCACUUCUAUGUUACUGGUAAAGAGAUGGAUAUCACCCUAGCAUACAUAAAAUGUAAGGUUUACUUUUUAAAAGUGAACAUUUUUAAGUAUAAUUUGUUCGUGUAUGAUUUUGUUUACCC